CCCCUAGAUGUUCUGGGCCGCACGCGCGCUACACUGAACAGUUCAACAAGUCUUAACCUUGGCCGAUAGGUCUGGGUAAUCUUUGAACGCUGUUCGAGAUUGGGAUAGACCUUUGCAAUUAUGGGUCUUCAACGAGGAAUUCCUAGUAAACGCAAGUCAUCAGCUUGCAUUGAUUACGUCCCUGCCCUUUGUACACACCGCCCGUCGCACCUACCGAUUGAAUGGUCCGGUGAAAUCUCGGGACGGCGGCUUGGUCGCUUGCGUCCGACUGCUGAAACUUGAUUAAACCAUAUCAUUUAGAGGAAGGUGAANUCGUANCA
RNAcentral lists this ribosomal RNA (320 nucleotides) under uncultured eukaryote. RNAcentral describes it as "partial 18S ribosomal RNA". It matches the Rfam family "Eukaryotic small subunit ribosomal RNA", at positions 1470 to 1796 of the family's 1831-position model. The record is from RNAcentral.